Molecule: ribosomal RNA, 468 nt
Filed under: uncultured bacterium
Lineage: Bacteria
Description: partial 16S ribosomal RNA
Rfam family: Bacterial small subunit ribosomal RNA
Source: RNAcentral
GACGAACGCUGGCGGCGUGCUUAACACAUGCAAGUCGAACGGAAAGGCCCUGCUUUUGUGGGGUGCUCGAGUGGCGAACGGGUGAGUAACACGUGAGUAACCUGCCCUUGACUUUGGGAUAACUUCAGGAAACUCGGGCUAAUACCGGGUAUAAGCUCCUGCUGCAUGGUGGGGGUUGGAAAGUUUCGGCGGUUGGGGAUGGACUGGCGGCUUAUCAGCUGGUUGGGGGGGUAGUUGCUUACAAAGGCUUUGACGGGUAGCCGGCCUGAGAGGGUGACCGGCCACAUUGGGCCUGCGAUACGGCGCAGAAUCCUACGGGAGGCAGCAGGCGGGAACCUUGCACAAUGGGCGGACGUCUGAUGCAGCAACGUCGCGUGCGGGAUGACGGCCUUCGGGUUGUAAACCGCUUUCGACGGUGACGAAGCGUGAGUGACGGUAAUGGGUAAAGAAGCACCGGCUAACUACGUG